CCUUGUACACACCGCCCGUCACACCAUGGGAGUUGGUUUUACCCGAAGGCGCUGUGCUAACCGCAAGGAGGCAGGCGACCACGGUAGGGUCAGCGACUGGGGUGAAGUCGUAACAAGGUACCC
This 123-nucleotide ribosomal RNA is filed under the name uncultured bacterium. RNAcentral describes it as "partial 16S ribosomal RNA". It matches the Rfam family "Bacterial small subunit ribosomal RNA", at positions 1379 to 1501 of the family's 1533-position model. The record is from RNAcentral.